Long non-coding RNA from Triticum dicoccoides, 1795 nucleotides. RefSeq lists it as uncharacterized. The transcript is spliced from 4 exons. NCBI's taxonomy places the organism in Eukaryota, Viridiplantae, Streptophyta, Magnoliopsida, Poales, Poaceae. The record is from RefSeq and is a predicted model, not a curated record.
CGAAGCAAUAUACUAGAGACCAGAUAAUGAUGGGAAAUAGAGGAUACGUAUCGUGGGGUUGCUGAGCUGUGGGCCAGGAAAUGGCGGAAUGACGGCCACCGUUACCCCGUCGGAGUUGAUCCGUGGCUCGGGACGCCCGCCGGCCGCCGCCGUCCUGAUCCGUGGAACAGGAAAAACAGUUCCCCCUCCCCCCCACACCCGCCACAAGCAAGGUCAACAUCCAAGGAUCUCUGCCGGCGUGCGAAGGAGCAUCCCGAGAUCUGGCUCAUGGAGUUCGUGAUGCAACCAAUACAAAGAUCCCCUUUGAGUGAGGAGGCGGAUGGAAGUGUAGCGCCGAUGGAUCUGCUGGCUUUCGGGACGGUGGGCUCUCUGAGGGAAGUGGAUGAAGCGACGGCCGCAGCCUUGAGUGAAGACCCGCGGAUCUAUGAAGAAGAAACAAGCGUUGACUCAAGACGGUAGAGCUGGCCGCAGGUGUUGGUCUGCUGGAGAUUUCAAUCGGCAAGUUCUGAUCCGAAUAAUACAUUAUGAGUUUCUGGCUCUGAGCCUCUAAAAAUCGGGGUAAGAGUACUUGCAUACAGCUAUGAUAUUCUUCGUUAGAGUACAGAUGUGAGUGCACUUAUUUGUACAAAUUAGUCAUGAAAUGGUGAACAUCAGCGACUUAUAAGUGUGGAUUACGGGUAGGUGAAGUGUUGGAAAAAGUACUUGGGCAAUUUGUACAGCUAUGUCUUGUUCUAAUUUCACUGUUUGUAAGCAGAACAUAGUUUCUGUGCAGUACAUAAAAAUGUUUGAUGUUGCUGAAUUGUGGGAAAACUAUAUACUGGCGAUUCCACAUGCACAUUGAUGUGUACAUCAAGGAUCUCGUGAAGCACUCGGGCAAAACACCAUCAACCUGGGUAAAAUAUACAACAUUAUCACUAGUUUCAUUCACUAAGCGUAUGCUGAGGUCCAUGUGUGGUAGCUGAGUCGGGAGCAGGCACAGAUGUCAUGAGGAUGAUGGAGGUGUUCACCGAAUUAGGAGCUAAUGAUCCGCACUUCGCUUAUCGGGUCCAAGCCGACAUGGAGAGAUGUGCGGUAUACCAAGUUGAAGAGUUGGAGAAGAGCAGGUUAUAUGUUGUGAUACACACAUAGGCGGGGCGGAGGGAAAAGUGGUGCAAGGUAUCCUACAAGGUGACAAUGCUUGAUGGUGGGGAAGGGUUCGGUUGCAAAUGUGACCAGUUUGCUCAUAUGGCCUUCUCUACAGUCACAUUCCGAAGCCUUCUAGAGUUUAUCCAUGUGAAACAGAUGCCGACAAAACAUUUGUGGAAAGAUAGACAAGGGAUGCUCGCGGCAAGCUACCUGCACAUCUAGCACAGUAUCAAAUCCUUUCUCUUACAGACAGUUCAAUUUGUACCAGCAGAUAAUGGAGCUUGUCCGUCUAGGAGGCACGUGCGGACGCAUACGACCAGCUAAAUGCAUUGUUCAUGGCCAAUCUUCUGGAGAUGCAAAUCUUCGCUGAGUUGAGAGAUGGGCUAGGAUUGCAUCUAUUUUUAGGUCCUUUCAGGUGAAAAUCUGAGCUACUAUUUUGUUUUCUUGAAGAGCAUCAAGUUUAUGAUCAAGAACGCCCUCAAUCUGGUCGGUCCAUUUCUUGGAUUGCAUCUAUUUUUAGGUCCAUCACUUCAAUCUGCCAGGUUUUAUUGCAACCGAACAGAUGUUGUUCCUCCUAACUGAACUUAAAUUUACGUGUGCUUUAAGAGCAGAUAUUAGUUAGUUUCUGAUACUCAUGAUUAAUGGAAAAUUCCAUCUAGUGAUGCGUCCA